This 972-nucleotide ribosomal RNA is filed under the name Microbacterium sp. Its description in RNAcentral is "bacterial SSU rRNA". It matches the Rfam family "Bacterial small subunit ribosomal RNA", at positions 531 to 1504 of the family's 1533-position model. The record is from RNAcentral. Lineage: Bacteria; Bacillati; Actinomycetota; Actinomycetes; Micrococcales; Microbacteriaceae.
ACUACUCUGCGUAUCGGAUAUUGGGCGUAAGAGCUCGUAGGCGGUUUGUCGCGUCUGCUGUGAAAUCCGGAGGCUCAACCUCCGGCCUGCAGUGGGUACGGGCAGACUAGAGUGCGGUAGGGGAGAUUGGAAUUCCUGGUGUAGCGGUGGAAUGCGCAGAUAUCAGGAGGAACACCGAUGGCGAAGGCAGAUCUCUGGGCCGUAACUGACGCUGAGGAGCGAAAGGGUGGGGAGCAAACAGGCUUAGAUACCCUGGUAGUCCACCCCGUAAACGUUGGGAACUAGUUGUGGGGUCCAUUCCACGGAUUCCGUGACGCAGCUAACGCAUUAAGUUCCCCGCCUGGGGAGUACGGCCGCAAGGCUAAAACUCAAAGGAAUUGACGGGGACCCGCACAAGCGGCGGAGCAUGCGGAUUAAUUCGAUGCAACGCGAAGAACCUUACCAAGGCUUGACAUAUACGAGAACGGGCCAGAAAUGGUCAACUCUUUGGACACUCGUAAACAGGUGGUGCAUGGUUGUCGUCAGCUCGUGUCGUGAGAUGUUGGGUUAAGUCCCGCAACGAGCGCAACCCUCGUUCUAUGUUGCCAGCACGUAAUGGUGGGAACUCAUGGGAUACUGCCGGGGUCAACUCGGAGGAAGGUGGGGAUGACGUCAAAUCAUCAUGCCCCUUAUGUCUUGGGCUUCACGCAUGCUACAAUGGCCGGUACAAAGGGCUGCAAUACCGCGAGGUGGAGCGAAUCCCAAAAAGCCGGUCCCAGUUCGGAUUGAGGUCUGCAACUCGACCUCAUGAAGUCGGAGUCGCUAGUAAUCGCAGAUCAGCAACGCUGCGGUGAAUACGUUCCCGGGUCUUGUACACACCGCCCGUCAAGUCAUGAAAGUCGGUAACACCUGAGCCGGUGGCCUAACUCUUGUGGAGGGAGCCGUCGAAGGUGGGAUCGGUAAUUAGGACUAAGUCGUACCAAGGUAAACAUA